AGUUAAUUAGUUUAAGAUAAACAUAUAUUUUGAAAAUAUAGAAAGAAGGUUUAAUUCCUUCAUUAACUU
RNAcentral lists this transfer RNA (69 nucleotides) under Polididus armatissimus. RNAcentral's name for it is "tRNA-Ser". It matches the Rfam family "tRNA". Rfam says of the family: Transfer RNA (tRNA) molecules are approximately 80 nucleotides in length. Their secondary structure includes four short double-helical elements and three loops (D, anti-codon, and T loops). The record is from RNAcentral. Lineage: Eukaryota; Metazoa; Arthropoda; Insecta; Hemiptera; Reduviidae.